GGAGAGAUUUAUUAUUAUUCCAAGUAAUUGGAAUGCCUGCUUGCAGGCCUGGAUGUUUGCUUAUGCUUUCUUCAUUAUUAUUGAAAAUCUUGGUGUAAUGCAGAGUCCCGUAGCUCAGCUGGUUAGAGCGCUACACUGAUAAUGUAGAGGUCCGCGGUUCAAGUCCGCGCGGGACUACUAACGUAGUUUCGCGUAACAAUGUGAUAGGGAAUAUGUGUCAAUUUGAGGCCCUACUUUAUUGGAUGAACGAAACCUUUUAUUUUUAUUAGGGGGAUAGCUCAGCUGGCCAGAGCACCUGCCUUGCACGCAGGGGGUCAUCGGUUCGACUCCGAUAUCCUCCACUAAAGAAAAAGGAAUAUACAGAUACAAAUGAAGGGGUCACGACCUGGAAUUUAUUUUGUUGUUUCGAUUUUCAAUCGUUCUUUGACAUUCUGAUAGAGAAUUCCAAUGUUUUGUAAUUAAUUAUAAUUUCAAUUUAACUAGAAAUUAUCGUUGGU
This 497-nucleotide transfer RNA is filed under the name uncultured Cryomorphaceae bacterium. RNAcentral describes it as "16S-23S ribosomal RNA intergenic spacer". The stretch from base 104 to 177 matches the Rfam family "tRNA". Lineage: Bacteria; Pseudomonadati; Bacteroidota; Flavobacteriia; Flavobacteriales; Cryomorphaceae. The record is from RNAcentral.